This 557-nucleotide long non-coding RNA is filed under the name Rattus norvegicus (Norway rat). RNAcentral describes it as "long non-coding RNA NONRATT030816". The record is from RNAcentral. Lineage: Eukaryota; Metazoa; Chordata; Mammalia; Rodentia; Muridae.
UUAUGAUGUUUCCAAUAUCUAGGGGUUUCCAGUGGUGCCAGUACCAAGGUCUUCCAACAUCUCCAGGUCUUCCAGUAACUGCAAGUCUUCCAACACUGUCAAGGUCUUCCAGAUAAUCCUGAUCUUCCAGAAAAUAUGUCUUCCAGAUGACACAUGUCUUCCAACAACCUCCAAGUCUUCCAGUAAAUUGAGUCUUCCAUGGUAACUAGAUCUUUCAUGGUAUAUAGAUCUUCCAGGAAAAUCUGUGUCUUCCAGGAAAAUCUUUGUCUUCCAAAGGAUUCAUGUCUUCCAGGAAAAUCUACGUCUUCCAGAAAAAUUCAUGUCUUCCGGGGAAAAUCCAUGUCUUCCACAAAAAUCCAUGUCUUCCAUUACAGUCUACGUCUUCCAGAAAAGCCUGCGUCUUCCACAAAAUCCAGUUCUUCCUGAAAAUCAGUGUCUUCCAGAAAAAUAUCCAGGUCUUCCAACCAAUCCAUGUCUUCCAGAAAAAUCUAGGUCUUCCAGAUCAUCUGUGUCUUCCACCAGUUCAAGUCUUCCAGAAACUCAUGUCUUCCACUAAA